This is a long non-coding RNA of Salvelinus fontinalis (brook trout), 385 nucleotides long. RefSeq lists it as uncharacterized. The record is from RefSeq and is a predicted model, not a curated record. NCBI's taxonomy places the organism in Eukaryota, Metazoa, Chordata, Actinopteri, Salmoniformes, Salmonidae. The transcript has 2 exons.
AGUAGCUAGCCUUCCAUCCAGGUGGAGACAGAUUUGGUCCAGAACAGUAGCUAGCCUUCCAUCCAGGUGGAGACAGAUUUGACCCAGAACAGUAGCUAGCCUUCCAUCCAGGUGGAGACAGAUUUGGUCCAGAACAGUAGCUAGCCUUCCAUCCAGGUGGAGACAGAUUUGGUCCAGAACAGCCUUCCAUCCAGGUGGAGACAGAUUUGACCCAGAACAGUAGCUAGCCUUCCAUCCAGGUGGAGACAGAUUUGACCCAGAACAGCCUUCCAUCCAGGUGGAGACAGAUUUGACCCAGAACAGUAGCUAGCCUUCCAUCCAGGUGGAGACAGAUUUGGUCCAGAACAGCCUUCCAUCCAGGUGGAGACAGAUUUGGUCCAGAACA